AGAUUGAACGCUGGCGGCAGGCCUAACACAUGCAAGUCGAGCGGCAGCACGGGUACUCGUACCUGGUGGCGAGCGGCGGACGGGUGAGUAAUGCCUAGGAAUCUGCCUGGUAGUGGGGGAUAACGCUCGGAAACGGACGCUAAUACCGCAUACGUCCUACGGGAGAAAGCAGGGGACCUUCGGGCCUUGCGCUAUCAGAUGAGCCUAGGUCGAUUAGCUAGUUGGUGGGUAAUGGCUCACCAAGGCGACGAUCCGUAACUGGUCUGAGAGGAUGAUCAGUCACACUGGAACUGAGACACGGUCCAGACUCCGUAACGGGAGCAGCAGGUGGGAAUAUUGGACAAGUGGGACGAAAGCCGUAGAGUCCAGCCCAGUCGCCGACGUGUGGUAGAAG
RNAcentral lists this ribosomal RNA (394 nucleotides) under uncultured soil bacterium. RNAcentral describes it as "bacterial SSU rRNA". It matches the Rfam family "Bacterial small subunit ribosomal RNA", at positions 26 to 416 of the family's 1533-position model. The record is from RNAcentral.